GGCACUACGGUGCUGAAGCAACAAAUGCCCUGCUUCCAGGAAAAGCCUCUAAGCAUCAGGUAACAUCAAAUCGUACCCCAAACCGACACAGGUGGUCAGGUAGAGAAUACCAAGGCGCUUGAGAGAACUCGGGUGAAGGAACUAGGCAAAAUGGUGCCGUAACUUCGGGAGAAGGCACGCUGACACGUAGGUGAAGUGAUUUACUCAUGGAGCUGAAGUCAGUCGAAGAUACCAGCUGGCUGCAACUGUUUAUUAAAAACACAGCACUGUGCAAACACGAAAGUGGACGUAUACGGUGUGACGCCUGCCCGGUGCCGGAAGGUUAAUUGAUGGGGUCAGCGCAAGCGAAGCUCCUGAUCGAAGCCCCGGUAAACGGCGGCCGUAACUAUAACGGUCCUAAGGUAGCGAAAUUCCUUGUCGGGUAAGUUCCGACCUGCACGAAUGGCGUAAUGAUGGCCAGGCUGUCUCCACCCGAGACUCAGUGAAAUUGAACUCGCUGUGAAGAUGCAGUGUACCCGCGGCAAGACGGAAAGACCCCGUGAACCUUUACUAUAGCUUGACACUGAACAUUGAGCCUUGAUGUGUAGGAUAGGUGGGAGGCUUUGAAGUGUGGACGCCAGUCUGCAUGGAGCCGGCCUUGAAAUACCACCCUUUAAUGUUUGAUGUUCUAACGUGGACCCGUGAUCCGGGUUGCGGACAGUGUCUGGUGGGUAGUUUGACUGGGGCGGUCUCCUCCUAAAGAGUAACGGAGGAGCACGAAGGUUGGCUAAUCCUGGUCGGACAUCAGGAGGUUAGUGCAAUGGCAUAAGCCAGCUUGACUGCGAGCGUGACGGCGCGAGCAGGUGCGAAAGCAGGUCAUAGUGAUCCGGUGGUUCUGAAUGGAAGGGCCAUCGCUCAACGGAUAAAAGGUACUCCGGGGAUAACAGGCUGAUACCGCCCAAGAGUUCAUAUCGACGGCGGUGUUUGGCACCUCGAUGUCGGCUCAUCACAUCCUGGGGCUGAAGUAGGUCCCAAGGGUAUGGCUGUUCGCCAUUUAAAGUGGUACGCGAGCUGGGUUUAGAACGUCGUGAGACAGUUCGGUCCCUAUCUGCCGUGGGCGCUGGAGAACUGAGGGGGGCUGCUCCUAGUACGAGAGGACCGGAGUGGACGCAUCACUGGUGUUCGGGUUGUCAUGCCAAUGGCACUGCCCGGUAGCUAAAUGCGGAAGAGAUAAGUGCUGAAAGCAUCUAAGCACGAAACUUGCCCCGAGAUGAGUUCUCCCUGAGACUUUAGGUCUCCUGAAGGAACGUUGAAGACGACGACGUUGAUAGGCCGGGUGUGUAAGCGCAGCGAUGCGUUGAGCUAACCGGUACUAAUGAACCGUGAGGCUUAACCUU
This 1376-nucleotide ribosomal RNA is filed under the name Salmonella enterica. RNAcentral describes it as "partial 23S ribosomal RNA". It matches the Rfam family "Bacterial large subunit ribosomal RNA", at positions 1573 to 2925 of the family's 2925-position model. Lineage: Bacteria; Pseudomonadati; Pseudomonadota; Gammaproteobacteria; Enterobacterales; Enterobacteriaceae. The record is from RNAcentral.